RNAcentral lists this non-coding RNA (24 nucleotides) under Arabidopsis thaliana (thale cress). Lineage: Eukaryota; Viridiplantae; Streptophyta; Magnoliopsida; Brassicales; Brassicaceae. The record is from RNAcentral.
AACAUAUUGCUUCCAUGGUGGUUU